RNAcentral lists this long non-coding RNA (221 nucleotides) under Medicago truncatula (barrel medic). Its description in RNAcentral is "long non-coding RNA (MTRU_LNC007414)". Lineage: Eukaryota; Viridiplantae; Streptophyta; Magnoliopsida; Fabales; Fabaceae. The record is from RNAcentral.
UAUUUAAAUAAAAUAAAUCACGACACGCAGGCCCUAUUUAAAUAAAAUAAAUCAUGACACGCAGGUCAUAUUUAAAUAAAUGAACAAACGCCAAUAUAAACUAAGGUCAUAACCAUAUACCAUAAAUUAAAUUAUAAACCAGCACGUAAUGAAUCAAAUAUUCAUUCAUAUAAUUACCGAGUAAAGGAUGUCAAGCACCGAAAUUCAUAUCUAUGAAUUUA